GCCUUAGUGGUGUAAUGGCCAGCACACUCGGCGCAUAUCGAGAGGUCCAUGGUUCGAGUCCUGGCGAAGGCA
Molecule: non-coding RNA, 72 nt
Organism: Stegodyphus mimosarum
Lineage: Eukaryota; Metazoa; Arthropoda; Arachnida; Araneae; Eresidae
Source: Rfam